This 460-nucleotide ribosomal RNA is filed under the name uncultured bacterium. RNAcentral describes it as "partial 16S ribosomal RNA". It matches the Rfam family "Bacterial small subunit ribosomal RNA", at positions 338 to 795 of the family's 1533-position model. The record is from RNAcentral.
CCUACGGGUGGCAGCAGUGAGGAAUAUUGGUCAAUGGCCGAGAGUCUGAACCAGCCAAGUCGCGUGAAGGAUGACUGCCCUAUGGGUUGUAAACUUCUUUUAUCUGGGAAUAAAAUGUUCCACGUGUGGCAUUUUGUGUGUACCCUAUGAAUAAGCAUCGGCUAACUCCGUGCCAGCAGCCGCGGUAAUACGGAGGAUCCGAGCGUUAUCCGGAUUUAUUGGGUUUAAAGGGUGCGUAGGCGGAUGGUGAAGUCAGGUGGUAAAGUUGGGGGCUCAACCGUAGAAUUGCCGUUGAAACUGGAAGUCUUGAGUACAGGAGAGGUAUGCGGAAUGCGUGGUGUAGCGGUGAAAUGCAUAGAUAUCACGAAGAACUCCGAUUGCGAAGGCAGCACACCGGAGUGCAACUGACGCUGAUGCACGAAAGUGUGGGUAUCGAACAGGAUUAGAUACCCCAGUAGUC